UUAUGUUUCUGGAAUUUUCUUUUAGUGUGUUAUUGGAAUGGCCCGGUCCCAUUAACCGAUGCGUCACUUGGGGUUGCGUGAGCAUUUAAUGCCCAAGCGGGUAUAAAUAAGGAGGGGUGUAGCCACUUGCCCCCUUCUGUCAUUCUCAGACUUCUGUUGGCAAUUUCAACACUCUCCCUUUUUCUAGAGUUUUUCGGCGCUAUUUUAUACUCCGAUAAGGGCUUUAAUCUUCUUCCGACCAAUUUUAUUUUUAUUUUGUGAAGAUGAGUGGUACCGAGGGUCAGAGA
Molecule: unclassified non-coding RNA, 287 nt
Filed under: Hevea brasiliensis (rubber tree)
Lineage: Eukaryota; Viridiplantae; Streptophyta; Magnoliopsida; Malpighiales; Euphorbiaceae
Source: RNAcentral